This 72-nucleotide transfer RNA is filed under the name Reclinomonas americana. RNAcentral describes it as "tRNA-Gln". It matches the Rfam family "tRNA". From Rfam's summary of the family: Transfer RNA (tRNA) molecules are approximately 80 nucleotides in length. Their secondary structure includes four short double-helical elements and three loops (D, anti-codon, and T loops). Further hydrogen bonds mediate the characteristic L-shaped molecular structure. tRNAs have two regions of fundamental functional importance: the anti-codon, which is responsible for specific mRNA codon recognition, and the 3' end, to which the tRNAs corresponding amino acid is attached (by aminoacyl-tRNA synthetases). tRNAs cope with the degeneracy of the genetic code in two manners: having more than one tRNA (with a specific anti-codon) for a particular amino acid; and 'wobble' base-pairing, i.e. permitting non-standard base-pairing at the 3rd anti-codon position. The record is from RNAcentral. Lineage: Eukaryota; Jakobea; Jakobida; Histionidae.
UGGGAUGUCGUCAAGUGGUAAGACAACGGUCUUUGAAGCCGUCAUUCGAAGGUUCGAGUCCUUCCAUCCCAA